Molecule: ribosomal RNA, 151 nt
Filed under: uncultured bacterium
Lineage: Bacteria
Description: partial 16S ribosomal RNA
Rfam family: Bacterial small subunit ribosomal RNA
Source: RNAcentral
GCCUGAUCCAGCCAUGCCGCGUGCAGGAAGACGGUCCUAUGGAUUGUAAACUGCUUUUGUACAGGAAGAAACACUACUUCGUGAAGUCACUUGACGGUACUGUAAGAAUAAGGAUCGGCUAACUCCGUGCCAGCAGCCGCGGUAAUACGAU